Molecule: ribosomal RNA, 603 nt
Filed under: Pseudoinonotus dryadeus
Lineage: Eukaryota; Fungi; Basidiomycota; Agaricomycetes; Hymenochaetales; Hymenochaetaceae
Description: eukaryotic LSU rRNA
Rfam family: Eukaryotic large subunit ribosomal RNA
Source: RNAcentral
CAAGGAUUCCCCUAGUAACUGCGAGUGAAGCGGGAUGAGCUCAAAUUUGAAAUCUGGCGGUCUUGUUACCGUCCGAGUUGUAAUCUGGAGAGGCGUUUUCCGCGUUGGACCGUGUACAAGUCUCCUGGAACGGAGCGUCAUAGAGGGUGAGAAUCCCGUCCAUGACACGGACCACCAAUGCUAUGUGAUACGCCCUCGAAGAGUCGAGUUGUUUGGGAAUGCAGCUCAAAAUGGGUGGUAAAUUCCAUCUAAAGCUAAAUAUUGGCGAGAGACCGAUAGCGAACAAGUACCGUGAGGGAAAGAUGAAAAGCACUUUGAAAAGAGAGUUAAACAGUACGUGAAAUUGUUGAAAGGGAAACGCUUGAAGUCAGUCGCGUUGCACGGAACUCAGCCUUGCUUCGGCUUGGUGUACUUUCUGUGUGACGGGUCAACGUCAAUUUUGACCGGCGGAGAAAGGCGAGGGGAAUGUAGCGUUGUUUCGGCGACGUGUUAUAGCCCUUUGUUGUAUGCGUCGGUUGGGAUUGAGGACCGCAGCACGCCUGUAAAUUGGCCGGGGGUUCGCCCUACGUUACGUGCUUAGGAUGUUGGCAUAAUGGCUUUAAG